AAGCUAUGAGUGUGCGUAGAGUAGAAUUGCUAUAAUCGUGUGGUUCGGUCUGAGAAGAUUUUAAAGAUAGAGAUAGAGUUAUGUUUUUAUUCAUUGUUGCUAUUUUUUUCUUGAAAAAUUUAAAAAUACAGAACACUCUAAACAAAGAAGCGGUCAUUGUACAAACGUUUUUCGGUUUGAAUAAAUUCUUACAUUCAACGGAAAAGGGAGUGUGCCUAGAGUAUAUGUAGUUUUUUGUGGUUUAUAAAUUAUUUUUUUGAUUUUUUUCCGACCCCGGUACAAAA
Molecule: long non-coding RNA, 284 nt
Filed under: Brassica napus (rape)
Lineage: Eukaryota; Viridiplantae; Streptophyta; Magnoliopsida; Brassicales; Brassicaceae
Description: long non-coding RNA (BNAP_LNC016272)
Source: RNAcentral